AACAAUUUAAAAAAAAAAAAAAUCAGAUCAUUUUUAUUUUUAAAUGACAACGAUGAUAGUAGCAAAGAUUUGGUGCUAUGAAAGACCAGUAUUCAAACUUCACCUAUUCAUAAAUGUUUCAGCAUUACAGUGACAGUUUGAAAACUUCUAACCUAUUUGAUUCCAGCUUCCGAUAUUGGAGACAAUUCAAGAUAAUUCAUUAUAAUUACGUGAAAACAAAUGUAACUUUAAAGUUUAAUCAUUUGGGAGAGGGGAAAAUCUACCGCAUCAACAUUUGGUUCCUUGGGAUGCGCACAUG
Molecule: unclassified non-coding RNA, 298 nt
Filed under: Hevea brasiliensis (rubber tree)
Lineage: Eukaryota; Viridiplantae; Streptophyta; Magnoliopsida; Malpighiales; Euphorbiaceae
Source: RNAcentral